UGCCCCAUGGCUGAGUUGGUUACAGCGUCCGACUGUUAUCCAUAACCAUCGGAAGGUCGUGAGUUCGAGCCUCACUGGGGCAG
Cylindrobasidium torrendii FP15055 ss-10 is the source of this 83-nucleotide non-coding RNA. NCBI's taxonomy places the organism in Eukaryota, Fungi, Basidiomycota, Agaricomycetes, Agaricales, Physalacriaceae. The record is from Rfam.